AUCCUGUUCUGCCGACUAUAUGAGCUAGCUUGAGAGAAAAGUAAAGUUUGCCACUUGAUCAGAAUCCUGUCUUGUGGUCAUUCUUUUUGCGUCUUUUGUCCCCAUUCCCUAUCCCUGACUCUCUUGCCCCAGGUUGAUGUCCUGCAGGUCAGGACAACUGGUGCCCAAAGUGAGGCUGGAUAGAGUUGGGGAUCUGGGAACUUCAGUGCUCAUUAGAGGGACGGCCUGUCCAUGCAGUGAGGCGUCCAAGACAAGGUCUAUUGUGAGCCUCGGUUGGAGGAAGACCCAGCAGCCUGCCCAGCACUUGGGACUUUCGGUUCAUGAGCACCAACUACAUGGAAAAGUGAGUAGGGAAAGGCCAAGACAGCUAGAAGAGCUUGCUCAAGCUGGAACUACUGAUUCUACUCAGGAGAGAGGCUUGAUUGAAGGGCCAACAGGCCCUCAGCCAAUCAUCUCACUGUACCCUCUCCACCCAGAACAUGUGCCUUCCAGGGAAGCAUGCAUAUAUGACCAGUUAGAAGGUCCAGAUGCACCACCUUACUCUAAUGGAUGCUGACAUCGCGGUGAGGGGAUUUCAGGAUGUUUCUGCCUAUGACUCCACUGAUUUCUCAUUUUUAUCAAAGCUCAAACUAAAAUUAAUACUAAGUUCAGUGACAG
RNAcentral lists this long non-coding RNA (657 nucleotides) under Cricetulus griseus (Chinese hamster). RNAcentral's name for it is "lncRNA (ENSCGRG00015040312.1)". Lineage: Eukaryota; Metazoa; Chordata; Mammalia; Rodentia; Cricetidae. The record is from RNAcentral.